GCUAUUUUUUUUUCUAAUAAAAAACCCUAAAUCGUUACAGUCGUGGCAUCUGAAGAACCUAUCCUCUAAUCUUCAUUUUUCCUUCAAGAAAAACCCAAAUCCACCACACAAACCUAGUUUCCUUUUUUUUUUUCUUGUUAAAAAAGGUUUUUAGUUAAAAUAUCUGGGAAAACUAAACUGAUUUCUUUCAUUUGAAGAAGAUUUCAAGCAUCCUCUGGGUUUGUUCUUUCAUGAGAUGAAGUGUGCGAAAAAUCAUCUGCAUGCUAAACUCAUAAUCGUAGGAGAUGGAAGGCAAUGAGAACACUACCCAAAAGCUCUUGUGAAUUGUUGGCCCAUAACCGCUGGUUGAGGAGGCAGGUUCUGUACUUGGAAUGAUUUCUAUUGGUGAAUCAAGUAUAAUACGUAGUUUGCUGCAUCUAUCUGAGCAUUGUAGGUGAAGGAUUACUACAAAAUUUUGGAGGUUGAUUAUGAUGCAACGGAUGAGAUGAUAAGAUUAAAUUACCUAAAGCUUGCGCUGGUUAGUGGUGCAUCUACUAUGAGCAGCUUCUUAUAAGUGGCAUCCUGAUAAACACAGAGGUGAUAGUACUGUUACUGCAAAAUUUCAGGAGAUCAAUGAAGCUUACAAAGUGUUGAGUGAUCCAGCUAAACGAUCUGAUUAUGAUUUAACUGGAAUAUAUGAGAUUGAUAAGUACACUCUACGGGAAUAUCUUGCCAGAUUUAAAGGAAUGAUACUUACCUGCAACGGGCUUGGUAUCGGUCAUACAUCAAUGUGGACACAGCAACUGACUGAAGCCAAUGAAUUUGCAGAAAAAUAAGUGAGCCAAAAAACCCUGGUAUCAGCUGACCUGGAUGCUGUGAUGAUUGAAUCAGGGAUUGAGAUAUCAAAGGAUGUUGCAAGAGCAGCAACUCUUUCUUAAUCUGAAGAGGGAGGUAUAUCUGUCUGUUUGUAUUAAUAUGUUACUGAAUAUUUGGAGAAUCAGUGAGUCUUCUCUUCUCACUCAUUUUAUAUGGAAGAUGCAUUGCUCAGAGUCUGAUACACCACAGUUUUUAGAUAAACUCUGAGGCAAUCACACUUGUGAUCUUGUUUGUUUGUAUCAUUCUUCUUGUAUAAUACCAUUUAUUUGGCUGGUCCUGUGGUCUCAACUUAGGCCAUGUUUGGCUUGAGGUUGGGAGAGGUUGAAAUGAUUUUAAAAGAAAAAAAAAUAAAAGUUUUUUUUUUUUUUAAUGUUUA
Molecule: RNA transcript, 1231 nt
Organism: Manihot esculenta (cassava)
Lineage: Eukaryota; Viridiplantae; Streptophyta; Magnoliopsida; Malpighiales; Euphorbiaceae
Gene name: dnAJ-like protein slr0093
Exons: 8
Source: RefSeq, a predicted model, not a curated record